GACGAACGCUGGCGGCGUGCUUAACACAUGCAAGUCGAACGGAAAGGCCCUGCUUUUGUGGGGUGCUCGAGUGGCGAACGGGUGAGUAACACGUGAGUAACCUGCCCUUGACUUUGGGAUAACUUCAGGAAACUGGGGCUAAUACCGGAUAGGAGCCCCUGCUGCAUGGUGGGGGUUGGAAAGUUUCGGCGGUUGGGGAUGGACUCGCGGCUUAUCAGCUUGUUGGUGGGGUAGUGGCUUACCAAGGCUUUGACGGGUAGCCGGCCUGAGAGGGUGACCGGCCACAUUGGGACUGAGAUACGGCCCAGACUCCUACGGGAGGCAGCAGUGGGGAAUAUUGCACAAUGGGCGGAAGCCUGAUGCAGCAACGCCGCGUGCGGGAUGACGGCCUUCGGGUUGUAAACCGCUUUCGCCUGUGACGAAGCGUGAGUGGCGGUAAUGGGUAAAGAAGCACCGGCUAACUACGUG
This 468-nucleotide ribosomal RNA is filed under the name uncultured bacterium. Its description in RNAcentral is "partial 16S ribosomal RNA". It matches the Rfam family "Bacterial small subunit ribosomal RNA", at positions 28 to 507 of the family's 1533-position model. The record is from RNAcentral.